UUACGGCCAUAUCACGUUGAAGCCCCGGUUCCCGUUAAGAUCACCGAAGUUAAGCAACAUCGAGCCCGAUCAAUUCCUAGAUGGGGGACUGCUUGGGAAUACCAGGUGUUGUGA
Acanthosepion pharaonis is the source of this 114-nucleotide non-coding RNA. Lineage: Eukaryota; Metazoa; Mollusca; Cephalopoda; Sepiida; Sepiidae. The record is from the annotation of a GenBank genome assembly.